This 465-nucleotide ribosomal RNA is filed under the name uncultured bacterium. Its description in RNAcentral is "partial 16S ribosomal RNA". It matches the Rfam family "Bacterial small subunit ribosomal RNA", at positions 339 to 795 of the family's 1533-position model. The record is from RNAcentral.
CUACGGGAGGCUGCAGUGAGGAAUUUUGCGCAAUGGGCGAAAGCCUGACGCAGCAACGCCGCGUGGGUGAUGAAGGCCUUCGGGUCGUAAAGCCCUGUCAAGUGGGAAGAACCCACAGGGUGCGAACAGUACUCUGUGCUGACGGUACCACUGAAGGAAGCACCGGGUAACUCCGUGCCAGCAGCCGCGGUAAUACGGGGGGUGCAAGCGUUAUUCGGAAUCAUUGGGCGUAAAGGGCGCGUAGGCGGCCACUUAAGUCAGAUGUGAAAGCCCGGGGCUUAACCUCGGAAGUGCAUUUGAAACUGGGUGGCUUGAGUAUGGGGGAGGGAAGCGGAAUUCCUGGUGUAGAGGUGAAAUUCGUAGAUAUCAGGAGGAACACCUGUGGCGAAGGCGGCUUCCUGGACCAAUACUGACGCUGAGGCGCGAAGGCGUGGGGAGCAAACAGGAUUAGAUACCCGUGUAGUC